ACGCUCGACACCUACGGGGCAGCAGUGAGGAAUAUUGGUCAAUGGGCGCUAGCCUGAACCAGCCAAGUAGCGUGAAGGAUGAAGGCUCUAUGGGUCGUAAACUUCUUUUAUAUAAGAAUAAAGUGCAGUAUGUAUACUGUUUUGUAUGUAUUAUAUGAAUAAGGAUCGGCUAACUCCGCGCCAGCAGCCGCGGUAAUCUGAGCGGGCUGGCAAGGC
This 216-nucleotide ribosomal RNA is filed under the name uncultured bacterium. RNAcentral describes it as "partial 16S ribosomal RNA". It matches the Rfam family "Bacterial small subunit ribosomal RNA", at positions 326 to 539 of the family's 1533-position model. The record is from RNAcentral.